RNAcentral lists this ribosomal RNA (460 nucleotides) under uncultured bacterium. RNAcentral's name for it is "partial 16S ribosomal RNA". It matches the Rfam family "Bacterial small subunit ribosomal RNA", at positions 338 to 795 of the family's 1533-position model. The record is from RNAcentral.
CCUACGGGAGGCAGCAGUGAGGAAUAUUGGUCAAUGGACGAGAGUCUGAACCAGCCAAGUAGCGUGAAGGAUGACUGCCCUAUGGGUUGUAAACUUCUUUUAUAUGGGAAUAAAAUGUUCCACGUGUGGGAUUUUGUAUGUACCAUAUGAAUAAGGAUCGGCUAACUCCGUGCCAGCAGCCGCGGUAAUACGGAGGAUCCGAGCGUUAUCCGGAUUUAUUGGGUUUAAAGGGAGCGUAGGUGGAUUGUUAAGUCAGUUGUGAAAGUUUGCGGCUCAACCGUAAAAUUGCAGUUGAAACUGGCAGUCUUGAGUAGAGUAGAGGUGGGCGGAAUUCGUGGUGUAGCGGUGAAAUGCUUAGAUAUCACGAAGAACUCCGAUUGCGAAGGCAGUUCACUGGACUGAAACUGACACUGAGGCUCGAAAGUGUGGGUAUCAAACAGGAUUAGAUACCCUUGUAGUC